This 250-nucleotide ribosomal RNA is filed under the name uncultured bacterium. RNAcentral's name for it is "partial 16S ribosomal RNA". It matches the Rfam family "Bacterial small subunit ribosomal RNA", at positions 85 to 334 of the family's 1533-position model. The record is from RNAcentral.
CCGCCGGCGACCGGCGCACGGGUGAGUAACGCGUAUGCAACUUACCUAUCAGAGGGGGAUAGCCCGGCGAAAGUCGGAUUAAUACCCCAUGAAACAGGGGUCCCGCAUGGGAAUAUUUGUUAAAGAUUCAUCGCUGAUAGAUAGGCAUGCGUUCCAUUAGGCAGUUGGCGGGGUAACGGCCCACCAAACCGACGAUGGAUAGGGGUUCUGAGAGGAAGGUCCCCCACAUUGGUACUGAGACACGGACCAA